AUGAAGGCAGCAUUAAAAACUAUCCUCCCACAUACACUUCAUAAGUUGUGUCGGUGGCAUAUCAUGAAGAAGUACAAAGACCACCUCGCCUUGCUGUAUAUGGCGCACGAGAAACUCAAUGAUGACCUCAAUGCAGUGCUGAACCACCCACUAAUGCCAUCAGAAUUUGAACGAGCAUGGAAGGACCUCAUUCAGAGAUACAACUUGCAAAACGACGAAGUGAUGAAUUCGCUGUGGGAUGAGAGGCACGAGUGGAUCUCAGCUUACUACAAGGAAAUUUUCUGUGCUCGGAUGACUUCCACGCAGAGAAGAGAGAGCAUGAAACGCAUACUGAAGAAAAACUUUGUCAAAGAGAAGCAUGAUCUCCAUCUGUUUGCUCAGCAGGUGGACAAGUGCAUUCAAACCAGGAAGGCAGUCGAGCACGCAGAGACAGUAGCAAAUGAGUCAGAGGUAAAGACAACAACCAAAUUUGGGUUCGAAGUUCAACUAUCAAAAGUGUAUACAAGGGCAGUGUUUGCAGAUUUUGAAGAAACACUCUACCGUAGCACUGCAUUCAGAGCAGAACGGUGCCCUAAGAACCCGACAAAGUAUCUUGUACACCACUACAACAGAUCGGAUGCAUUUGACUGGGCAAGGCAUAAUUUCCAAGUGGUCGCCGAUGAAAAGAAAGGUGUCUACGAACGUGAGUGCAAACUCUGGACACACACAGGGCUCUUUUGCGUCCAUGUGUUAUGCAUGAUUUCUCAUUUGAGAGUACUCAAGAUUCCUGAGGUGUACAUCAUGAAAAGAUACACCCGUAACGCAAGAUCAAAUGCAAUGUUUGACAGGAGAGACUACGAACAAACAACACCAGAUGGAAGCUCACUUUUUUGCUGUAGAAAAUUGCUGACAGAAACAGCAAUGGAACUUGCAAACAGAGCGACAAGGUCCGACGCUGGGUGCCACAGAGCGUUGUCUGGUAUGAGGGCACUGAUCGAGGAAGUUGAUGUGCUCAACGAAGAAGAAGAAGCAGCAGCAAAACUAAAGUAA
This 1029-nucleotide ribosomal RNA is filed under the name Triticum aestivum (bread wheat). RNAcentral describes it as "partial small subunit ribosomal RNA". The record is from RNAcentral. Lineage: Eukaryota; Viridiplantae; Streptophyta; Magnoliopsida; Poales; Poaceae.